RNAcentral lists this ribosomal RNA (655 nucleotides) under uncultured bacterium. Its description in RNAcentral is "bacterial SSU rRNA". It matches the Rfam family "Bacterial small subunit ribosomal RNA", at positions 68 to 728 of the family's 1533-position model. The record is from RNAcentral.
GGGGAUUGACAGUCCGUAAGACAAUCNAUUUCUAGUGGCGAACGGGUGAGUAACACGUAGGCGACCUGCCCCGGAGAGGGGGACAACGGCUCGAAAGGGCAGCUAAUACCCCAUUCAUCUCAUCGAGAUUAGAGGCACGAUGAGGAAAAGGAGAAAUCCGCUCUGGGAGGGGCCUGCGGCCCAUCAGGUAGUUGGUGAGGUAACGGCUCACCAAGCCGAAGACGGGUAGGGGGCCUGAGAGGGUGGUCCCCCACACGGGCACUGAGAGACGGGCCCGACUCCUACGGGAGGCAGCAGUAAGGGAUAUUGCGCAAUGGGCGAAAGCCUGACGCAGCAACGCCGCGUGUCCGAGGAAGGCCUUCGGGUCGUAAAGGACUUUUGGGGCUGAAGAGCGAGGACGGUAAGCCCCGAAUAAGUGUCGGCUAAUUACGUGCCAGCAGCCGCGGUAAAACGUAGGACGCGAGCGUUAUCCGGAGUUACUGGGCGUAAAGGGCAGGCAGGCGGACAGACAAGCGUUGUGUGAAAUCUCCGUGGCUUAACCGGGAGGGAGCAUGGCGGACUGUCUGACUAGAGGGCAGCAGAGGAGCGUGGAAUUCCCGGUGUAGCGGUGAAAUGCGUAGAUAUUGGGAGGAACACCGGUGGCGAAGGCGGCUCU